CUAUAUGGAUAGGCUAGCGCUCAAGAGAUAAAAGUUAUGAAUUAAAAAUAUAUUAUAUUAGAUUAAUUCAUCAAAAUUAAAGAUUAAAAUCAGGUAGGAAAAGAAAAUUAAAAUUAAAAAUAAAGAAAAAAAUAUGAAUAACAACAACAAUGUAUAUCUACUAAAAGGUACGUGAGUUGGGUUCAAUACGACGUGAGUC
RNAcentral lists this ribosomal RNA (199 nucleotides) under Cryptococcus neoformans. RNAcentral's name for it is "partial large subunit ribosomal RNA". Lineage: Eukaryota; Fungi; Basidiomycota; Tremellomycetes; Tremellales; Cryptococcaceae. The record is from RNAcentral.